CCUACGGGAGGCAGCAGUGAGGAAUAUUGGUCCAUGGGCGGAAGCCUGAACCAGUCAAGUCGCGUGAGGGAUUAAGGCCCUGCGGGUCGUAAACCUCUUUUGCCGGGGCGCAGAGGUCCGGACGUGUCCGGGCCGGGAGAGUACCCGGAGAAAAAGCAUCGGCUAACUCCGUGCCAGCAGCCGCGGUAAUACGGAGGAUGUGAGCGUUAUCCGGAUUUAUUGGGUUUAAAGGGUGCGUAGGCGGGCAUUUAAGCCGGCGGUCAAAUGUCGGGGCUCAACCCCGGCCUGCCGGCGGAACUGGGUGCCUUGAGUGGGCGAGAAGUAUGCGGAAGGCGUGGUGUAGCGGUGAAAUGCAUAGAUAGCACGCAGAACCCCGAUUGCGAAGGCAGCAUACCGGCGCCCUACUGACGCUGAGGCACGAAAGUGCGGGUAUCGAACAGGAUUAGAUACCCUGGUAGUC
This 460-nucleotide ribosomal RNA is filed under the name uncultured bacterium. RNAcentral describes it as "partial 16S ribosomal RNA". It matches the Rfam family "Bacterial small subunit ribosomal RNA", at positions 338 to 795 of the family's 1533-position model. The record is from RNAcentral.